Molecule: ribosomal RNA, 460 nt
Filed under: uncultured bacterium
Lineage: Bacteria
Description: partial 16S ribosomal RNA
Rfam family: Bacterial small subunit ribosomal RNA
Source: RNAcentral
CGACCGCUGGCGGCGUGCUUAACACAUGCACGUCGAGCGGUAAGGCCUUUCGGGGUACACGAGCGGCGAACGGGUGAGUAACACGUGGGUGAUCUGCCCUGCACUUCGGGAUAAGCCUGGGAAACUGGGUCUAAUACCGGAUAUGACCUCCUAUCGCAUGGUGGGUGGUGGAAAGAUUUAUCGGUGCAGGAUGGGCCCGCGGCCUAUCAGCUUGUUGGUGGGGUAAUGGCCUACCAAGGCGACGACGGGUAGCCGACCUGAGAGGGUGACCGGCCACACUGGGACUGAGACACGGCCCAGACUCCUACGGGAGGCAGCAGUGGGGAAUAUUGCACAAUGGGCGAAAGCCUGAUGCAGCGACGCCGCGUGAGGGAUGACGGCCUUCGGGUUGUAAACCUCUUUCAGCAGGGACGAAGCGCAAGUGACGGUACCUGCAGAAGAAGCACCGGCUAACUACGUG